CAGUCGCCACGGUAAUACGAAGGGGGCUAGCGUUGUUCGGAAUUACUGGGCGUAAAGCGCACGUAGGCGGAUUUUUAAGUCAGGGGUGAAAUCCCGAGGCUCAACCUCGGAACUGCCUUUGAUACUGGAGAUCUUGAGUUCGGAAGAGGUUGGUGGAACAGCUAGUGUAGAGGUGAAAUUCGUAGAUAUUCGGAGGAACACCAGUGGCGAAGGCGGCUCACUGGUCCAUUACUGACGCUGAGGUGCGAAAGCGUGGGGAGCAAACAGGAUUAGAUACCCCGGUAGUCCCUGUCCUUAUACC
Molecule: ribosomal RNA, 301 nt
Filed under: uncultured bacterium
Lineage: Bacteria
Description: partial 16S ribosomal RNA
Rfam family: Bacterial small subunit ribosomal RNA
Source: RNAcentral